AUUGUAGUUUAUUUUUAUUUUUUUUCCAUUUGCUUAGCUUUAUGUUCUCAAUUUUCUACAGUCUUCUACUUUGUAAGAGACCGAAUCCAGUCUUGUCUGUUUGCCUGUAGAGUCUGUUGGUUUUGUAUUGCAACACAGAAUGGCAAGUUGAGUUAGGACUCUGCCUGAACAGGCCUGCCCACAGACCAGCCAGUUGGUUCUAGAAUCUGAAGACGACUCAGGCAAGAGAUAGAGCUUUCCUGGUUCUCAGGAGUCAUUUAAGCCAGAUACAGAAGCAAGCAGGAGCCAGAGAAAGUCUAGAGAGCUCCUAGAUAAUCAAAAAGGCUAAAAAAAAGUUGUAUCCUGAGUUGGGUGCAGAUAGAACUGAAGUAGUUAGAUAGACCUCUGAAAUCAAAGGGUCUCUGAAUGGAAUGCUAUGUCAUGCCAUUGUUGACAUAGCGUUCCGUCUCCACACUGAUGUUUACAUGUGUAAGCCAUACAUUCUACUGCAUUCAAAGCAUUGACCUGAGAUUAUAUCAAUGACGUAGUAAGAAGGGGCACAGGGGAUAAAGGGGAAAGACUUUUCUGAUGUUAUAGCCCAACAAAAGAACUGCAAAUAAUACAAUCCUCAUGCAGCGCCUCAAGUAAGUACACCUGUGCCCUAGGCUUGCCAUUCCAUUAAUUAACUAUGUGACCUUGAACAGAUCAAUUAUCCUCUCAGAGUUUAUUUCCAGAGAAGAUCAAACUUGCAUUAAUAGUUUUCUAACUAUUAUUCUUGGAAACAGCAGGGGGAUGGAGCAAAGGAUGAAUGGAAAACUUCGCCCCCCUUUCUACUCUUGCUUAAAGCUACAGCAAUUAUAAUUUUUAUCCUUUCUAUUCAUUUACAUUUCCUCGUAAGAUUUGAUUAAAGAAAAGUUUCCACCCUCUUUGUAAAACAAUUUGAAAAUUCCUUGCCUAGAUGACUUUUAAUGAGUUUCCAAUAUAUAACCGUCUACCUAGAAGGACCUCAAGCAGUGACCGAAAAGUCAGGAAACAAAGGAUUCACGGGCCAGAUGCUUGAAGCUUGAGGACAAGGGUGUUGGCCAUAUAACACGGACCAAAUGCAAGUAAGCACCCAUUGGCAGCUGGGAAGCCAGUGGAUCUGGUUCUCCACCCUGUUUUCCCACUUCAAGUAAACUCCUACCAUUCACAUUUCUCAAGUGAUGGAUUUGCCUUACUGUGGUUAUAUAGGCCAGGUCAAAUGGGGCAAAUAUUAGAUUGUAAUUAUACUGUACCUCCAAAGCUUUAAAUGGAAAGAAAAGGACUUGAGCACAUACAUAUCUUCAUCUCACUGUAAUUUCUAGUUUAGUUAUUUAUCAAGAGUAUGAAGAAGAAAAAGCCAAAGAAGAGAGGAAAAGGUAAUCUUCUGGGUUGGUGGGCACGGAGUCACCUUUACUGGCAAAGCAGAGGGGAAGCUGCCACAGGCAUAUGUCGUUUUAUUGCACUUCACUUUAUUGCUCAUUGUGGAUACUGUAUUUUUCACAAAUUGAAGCUUUGUGGCAAUCCUGGAUCAACCAAGUCUAUUGGCG
RNAcentral lists this long non-coding RNA (1547 nucleotides) under Equus caballus (horse). RNAcentral describes it as "lncRNA (ENSECAG00000058136.1)". The record is from RNAcentral. Lineage: Eukaryota; Metazoa; Chordata; Mammalia; Perissodactyla; Equidae.